Ribosomal RNA from Dendrobium catenatum, 119 nucleotides. Lineage: Eukaryota; Viridiplantae; Streptophyta; Magnoliopsida; Asparagales; Orchidaceae. The record is from RefSeq and is a predicted model, not a curated record.
UGGUGCGAUCAUACCAGCACUAAUGCACUGGAUCCCAUCAGAACUCCUCAGUUAAGCGUGCUUAGGUGAGUGUAGUACUGGGAUUGGUGACCUCUUGGGAAGUCCUCGUGUUGCACCCC